This 72-nucleotide transfer RNA is filed under the name Chlorocebus sabaeus (green monkey). It matches the Rfam family "tRNA". Rfam says of the family: Transfer RNA (tRNA) molecules are approximately 80 nucleotides in length. Their secondary structure includes four short double-helical elements and three loops (D, anti-codon, and T loops). Lineage: Eukaryota; Metazoa; Chordata; Mammalia; Primates; Cercopithecidae. The record is from Rfam by way of RNAcentral.
GUUAAUGUAGCUUAAUUAUUUCAAAGCAAAACACUGAAAAUGUCUAGAUGGGUCUGCACAACCCCAUAAACA